RNAcentral lists this long non-coding RNA (263 nucleotides) under Trifolium pratense (red clover). Its description in RNAcentral is "long non-coding RNA (TPRA_LNC007551)". The record is from RNAcentral. Lineage: Eukaryota; Viridiplantae; Streptophyta; Magnoliopsida; Fabales; Fabaceae.
ACCUAAGCUAUUGGUUGUAACAAACUUAUGUUUACUUACUCAACAAGUAACAACUUAGAGAUAUGAAUUACACAAUGAAUUUCACAAAAUUCAACACUCCCCCUUAAUUCAUACUCUCUAAGGAUCUUAUGCACAUCAAGCCUUUCAACUUUAAGAAGGUUUCCACUGUCACAGCCUUGGUUAACACAUCUGCAAUCUGCAGCUCUGUCCUGCAGUGUUCUAGCUUGAGCCUUCCAUUGCUUACCUGCUCUCUCAGAUAAUGG